RNAcentral lists this ribosomal RNA (436 nucleotides) under uncultured Clostridium sp. RNAcentral describes it as "partial 16S ribosomal RNA". It matches the Rfam family "Bacterial small subunit ribosomal RNA", at positions 341 to 792 of the family's 1533-position model. The record is from RNAcentral. Lineage: Bacteria; Bacillati; Bacillota; Clostridia; Eubacteriales; Clostridiaceae.
ACGGGAGGCAGCAGUGGGGAAUAUUGCACAAUGGGCGAAAGCCUGAUGCAGCAACGCCGCGUGAGGGAAGACGGUUUUCGGAUUGUAAACCUCUGUCUUUGGUGAAGAAGAAGUGACAUUAGCCGAGGAGGAAGCCACGGCUAACUACGUGCCAGCAGCCGCGGUAAUACGUAGGUGGCAAGCGUUGUCCGGAUUUACUGGGUGUAAAGGGAGCGCAGGCGGGGAAACAAGUCAGCUGUGAAAACUACGGGCUUAACCUGUAAACUGCAGUUGAAACUGUUUUUCUUGAGUGAAGUAGAGGUAGGCGGAAUUCCGAGUGUAGCGGUGAAAUGCGUAGAGAUUCGGAGGAACACCAGUGGCGAAGGCGGCCUACUGGGCUUUAACUGACGCUGAGGCUCGAAAGUGUGGGGAGCAAACAGGAUUAGAUACCCUGGUA